This is a long non-coding RNA of Tyto alba (common barn owl), 277 nucleotides long. RefSeq lists it as uncharacterized. The transcript is spliced from 2 exons. The record is from RefSeq and is a predicted model, not a curated record. Lineage: Eukaryota; Metazoa; Chordata; Aves; Strigiformes; Tytonidae.
GUUGGUUCUCAGGCAAGACUCUUCCGCCUCCAGAUGUGCUGCUGAAAUACACUUUUGAAGUUGUGGAAUAAUUUGGAUAAAAAUGGGUUUGGCAGAAUUAGUGUGGCAUCUUACUGCAGCGUUCAAGACAGUGAUAUGUACAACUAUCAAAAUGCCUGUCCCAUGUAAUAUUAUAUGCUUUAUAUUGAAGCAUAAUGAGACAGUAUAUUAAACACGUGGAUCAAUGCAGUCACUGCAAAAAAAAAUCACAGCCUUCCAAUUAAAGAUAAUAACCGUC